AUUGAACGCUGGCGGCAGGCCUAACACAUGCAAGUCGGACGGUAGCACAGAGGAGCUUGCUCCUCGGGUGACGAGUGGCGGACGGGUGAGUAAUGUCUGGGGAUCUGCCCGAUAGAGGGGGAUAACCACUGGAAACGGUGGCUAAUACCGCAUAACGUCGCAAGACCAAAGAGGGGGACCUUCGGGCCUCUCACUAUCGGAUGAACCCAGAUGGGAUUAGCUAGUAGGCGGGGUAAUGGCCCACCUAGGCGACGGUCCCUAGCUGGUCUGAGAGGAUGACCAGCCACACUGGAACUGAGACACGGUCCAGACUCCUACGGGAGGCAGCAGUGGGGAAUAUUGCACAAUGGGCGCAAGCCUGAUGCAGCCAUGCCGCGUGUAUGAAGAAGGCCUUCGGGUUGUAAAGUACUUUCAGCGGGGAGGAAGGCGGUGCGGUUAAUAACUGCGCCGAUUGACGUUACCCGCAGAAGAAGCACCGGCUAACUCCGUGCCAGCCGCCGCAGUAA
Molecule: ribosomal RNA, 506 nt
Filed under: uncultured bacterium
Lineage: Bacteria
Description: partial 16S ribosomal RNA
Rfam family: Bacterial small subunit ribosomal RNA
Source: RNAcentral